This 164-nucleotide ribosomal RNA is filed under the name uncultured bacterium. RNAcentral's name for it is "partial 16S rRNA". It matches the Rfam family "Bacterial small subunit ribosomal RNA", at positions 355 to 511 of the family's 1533-position model. The record is from RNAcentral.
UAGGGAAUCUUCGGCAAUGGACGAAAGUCUGACCGAGCAACGCCGCGUGAGUGAAGAAGGUUUUCGGCUCGUAAAACACUGUUGUAAGAGAAGAAUGGCAUUGAGAGUAACCGUUCAAUGUGUGACGGUAUCUUACCAGAAAGGAACGGCUAAAUACGUGCCAC